UACAGAGGGGGCAAGCGUUGUUCGGAAUUACUGGGCGUAAAGGGCGCGUAGGCGGCCUGCUAAGUCGAACGUGAAAUCCCCGGGCUUAACCCGGGAACUGCGUCCGAUACUGGUGGGCUUGAAUCCGGGAGAGGGAUGUGGAAUUCCAGGUGUAGCGGUGAAAUGCGUAGAUAUCUGGAGGAACACCGGUGGCGAAGGCGGCAUCCUGGACCGGUAGUGACGCUGAGGCGCGAAAGCUAGGGGAGCAAACGGG
RNAcentral lists this ribosomal RNA (253 nucleotides) under uncultured bacterium. Its description in RNAcentral is "partial 16S ribosomal RNA". It matches the Rfam family "Bacterial small subunit ribosomal RNA", at positions 524 to 776 of the family's 1533-position model. The record is from RNAcentral.